This 86-nucleotide transfer RNA is filed under the name Tatumella ptyseos. RNAcentral's name for it is "tRNA-Ser(cag)". It matches the Rfam family "tRNA". From Rfam's summary of the family: Transfer RNA (tRNA) molecules are approximately 80 nucleotides in length. Their secondary structure includes four short double-helical elements and three loops (D, anti-codon, and T loops). Further hydrogen bonds mediate the characteristic L-shaped molecular structure. tRNAs have two regions of fundamental functional importance: the anti-codon, which is responsible for specific mRNA codon recognition, and the 3' end, to which the tRNAs corresponding amino acid is attached (by aminoacyl-tRNA synthetases). tRNAs cope with the degeneracy of the genetic code in two manners: having more than one tRNA (with a specific anti-codon) for a particular amino acid; and 'wobble' base-pairing, i.e. permitting non-standard base-pairing at the 3rd anti-codon position. The record is from RNAcentral. Lineage: Bacteria; Pseudomonadati; Pseudomonadota; Gammaproteobacteria; Enterobacterales; Erwiniaceae.
UGCGAAGGUGGCGGAAUUGGUAGACGCGCUAGCUUCAGGUGUUAGUGUCUUAACGGACGUGAGGUUCAAGUCCCUCUCUUCGCACC